RNAcentral lists this long non-coding RNA (644 nucleotides) under Homo sapiens (human). Its description in RNAcentral is "HSALNT0120972". The record is from RNAcentral. Lineage: Eukaryota; Metazoa; Chordata; Mammalia; Primates; Hominidae.
UUUGGUGAAUUGUAUCCUCUGGUAACAUUUGGGGAAAAAAAGUCUAUGGGAGUCUCUUGAGUUCCAUUUCUCCAGAGACCAUACCACCUACCUCCGGUGGGGGAAGGGUUGUCAGCAGGUAAAGACGGAACGUCGAGUUAUAACUGACUCUAACACAGACUUCAAAUAAUCCCUGUUUUCAGCCUCUCUCCUUACCUGUGCCAUCUUGGUGUUUCCAGUGUCUGAAUAUUUCCAGAGUUUAACAUGGUGACUUAGCUUGCUUCUCAUUGAUAGUGCCAUUGAGGCAUUAUUUUGACCCUCCUGCACCCUGUUGGUCCGUCUUGUUUCUGCAUUUGUGUAUUACAGCAUAAGGUUAUAGGCGUUUCCUAAUGCUAUUGAAUUUAGCUUCAAUAGCAAGUUUGUGUUUCUGUUUCUCAUCCUGCUUACAGUUUGGGGUAAUUUUGGAGAAAAUAAGGAGACAGAAAUGUCUUUACUGUCUUGAAACAUGAAUAUGUUGGUAUUAACUUUUACAUCAGAAUACCUUAGGAAUGGGACGUUGUACUCUGUGGCUAAAUAAAAUAACACCUGGAUAUUAAAGAAACCCAGAAAGCCUUCUUUUUCUUUUUACAAUAAUUGGGUUUGGUUUUCUUGGAAGUCUGAACUCC